Molecule: ribosomal RNA, 805 nt
Filed under: uncultured fungus
Lineage: Eukaryota; Fungi
Description: SSU rRNA
Rfam family: Eukaryotic small subunit ribosomal RNA
Source: RNAcentral
UCGUUUAUUUGAUAGUACCUUACUACAUGGAUACCUGUGGUAAUUCUAGAGCUAAUACAUGCUAAAAACCCCGACUUCGGAAGGGGUGUAUUUAUUAGAUAAAAAACCAACGCCCUUCGGGGCUCCUUGGUGAAUCAUAAUAACUAAACGAAUCGCAUGGCCUUGCGCCGGCGAUGGUUCAUUCAAAUUUCUGCCCUAUCAACUUUCGAUGGUAGGAUAGUGGCCUACCAUGGUGGCAACGGGUAACGGGGAAUUAGGGUUCGAUUCCGGAGAGGGAGCCUGAGAAACGGCUACCACAUCCAAGGAAGGCAGCAGGCGCGCAAAUUACCCAAUCCCGACACGGGGAGGUAGUGACAAUAAAUACUGAUACGGGGCUCUUUCGGGUCUCGUAAUCGGAAUGAGAACGACCUAAAUAACCUAACGAGGAACAAUUGGAGGGCAAGUCUGGUGCCAGCAGCCGCGGUAAUUCCAGCUCCAAUAGCGUAUAUUAAAGUUGUUGCAGUUAAAAAGCUCGUAGUUGAACCUUGGGUCUGGCUGGCCGGUCCGCCUCACCGCGAGUACUGGUCCGGCCGGACCUUUCCUUCUGGGGAACCUCAUGGCCUUCACUGGCUGUGGGGGGAACCAGGACUUUUACUGUGAAAAAAUUAGAGUGUUCAAAGCAGGCCUUUGCUCGAAUACAUUAGCAUGGAAUAAUAGAAUAGGACGUGCGGUUCUAUUUUGUUGGUUUCUAGGACCGCCGUAAUGAUUAAUAGGGAUAGUCGGGGGCGUCAGUAUUCAGCUGUCAGAAGUGAAAUUCUUGGAUUGG